RNAcentral lists this ribosomal RNA (405 nucleotides) under uncultured prokaryote. RNAcentral's name for it is "bacterial SSU rRNA". It matches the Rfam family "Bacterial small subunit ribosomal RNA", at positions 355 to 774 of the family's 1533-position model. The record is from RNAcentral.
UGGGGAAUAUUGGGCAAUGGGGGAAACCCUGACCCAGCAACGCCGCGUGAAGGAAGAAGGCUUUCGGGUUGUAAACUUCUUUGACGAGGGACGAAAAAAAUGACGGUACCUCGAAAACAAGCCACGGCUAACUACGUGCCAGCAGCCGCGGUAAUACGUAGGUGGCAAGCGUUGUCCGGAUUUACUGGGUGUAAAGGGCGCGUAGGCGGGAUUACAAGUCAGAUGUGAAAUGCCAGGGCUUAACCCUGGAGCUGCAUUUGAAACUGUAGUUCUUGAGUAUCGGAGAGGCAGGCGGAAUUCCUAGUGUAGCGGUGAAAUGCGUAGAUAUUAGGAGGAACACCAGUGGCGAAGGCGGCCUGCUGGACGACAACUGACGCUGAGGCGCGAAAGCGUGGGGAGCAAACA